UACGGCUAAAUCACGCUGAAACACUGGCUCUCGUACGGUCAGCGAAGUUAAGCAACGUCGUGCCUGUUCAGUACUUAGAUGGGUGACCGCUUGGGAAUACCAGGUGCUGUAA
RNAcentral lists this ribosomal RNA (112 nucleotides) under Acanthosepion pharaonis. Lineage: Eukaryota; Metazoa; Mollusca; Cephalopoda; Sepiida; Sepiidae. The record is from RNAcentral.